Molecule: ribosomal RNA, 223 nt
Filed under: uncultured bacterium
Lineage: Bacteria
Description: partial 16S ribosomal RNA
Rfam family: Bacterial small subunit ribosomal RNA
Source: RNAcentral
UACGAAGGGGGCAAGCGUUGUUCGGAAUUACUGGGCGUAAAGGGCGCGUAGGCGGUUUGUACAGUCAGGUGUGAAAUUCCCGGGCUCAACCUGGGGGCGGCACUUGAGACGUAGGAACUGGAGUGAGGAAGAGGGUCGUGGAAUUCCCAGUGUAGAGGUGAAAUUCGUAGAUAUUUGGGGAAGAAACACCAGUGGGCGAAGGCGGCUCACUGGCCCCGUAACU